GUCUGUCUGUCUGUCUCUCUGUCUCUCUCUCUCUCUCUCUCUCUCUCUCUCUCUCACACACACACACACACACACAGAGAGAGAGAGAGAGAGAGAGAGAGAGAGAGAGAUUUCCCUUGUUA
This is a non-coding RNA of Podarcis lilfordi (Lilford's wall lizard), 122 nucleotides long. NCBI's taxonomy places the organism in Eukaryota, Metazoa, Chordata, Lepidosauria, Squamata, Lacertidae. The record is from the annotation of a GenBank genome assembly.